This 173-nucleotide ribosomal RNA is filed under the name uncultured bacterium. RNAcentral describes it as "partial 16S ribosomal RNA". It matches the Rfam family "Bacterial small subunit ribosomal RNA", at positions 1302 to 1472 of the family's 1533-position model. The record is from RNAcentral.
AGUCUGCAACUCGACUCCAUGAAGUCGGAAUCGCUAGUAAUCGCAGAUCAGCAUUGCUGCGGUGAAUACGUUCCCGGGUCUUGUACACACCGCCCGUCACACCAUGGGAGUUGAUUGCACCAGAAGCAGGUAGCCUGACCGCAAGGGGGGGCGCCUACCACGGUGUGGUCAAU